CCUACGGGUGGCAGCAGUGGGGGAUUUUGCACAAUGGGGGAAACCCUGACGCAGCAACGCCGCGUGCGGGACGACGGCCCUCGGGUUGUAAACCGCUUUCCGUGGGGACGAUGGUGACGGUAACCAAAGAAAAAGCUCCGGCUAACUACGUGCCAGCAGCCGCGGUAAUACGUAGGGAGCGAGCGUUAUCCGGAUUCAUUGGGCGUAAAGCGCGCGUAGGCGGCUUCCUAAGCGGAACCUCUAAUCCCGGGGCUCAACCUUGGGCCGGGUUUGGAACUGGGCGGCUUGAGUGCGGGAGAGGUAGGAGGAAUUCCCGGUGUAGCGGUGGAAUGCGCAGAUAUCGGGAAGAACACCGAUGGCGAAGGCAGCCUGCUGGGCCGUCACUGACGCUGAGGCGCGAAAGCUGGGGGAGCGAACAGGAUUAGAUACCCCAGUAGUC
This 439-nucleotide ribosomal RNA is filed under the name uncultured bacterium. RNAcentral describes it as "partial 16S ribosomal RNA". It matches the Rfam family "Bacterial small subunit ribosomal RNA", at positions 338 to 795 of the family's 1533-position model. The record is from RNAcentral.